Alnus glutinosa is the source of this 2049-nucleotide RNA transcript. RefSeq lists it as uncharacterized. The record is from RefSeq and is a predicted model, not a curated record. The transcript has 5 exons. Lineage: Eukaryota; Viridiplantae; Streptophyta; Magnoliopsida; Fagales; Betulaceae.
GCAAUCAUUUCUCCUUGACAGCUUACUACUCAUCUGCGUCAUUCUCUGUGCGUCAUCUCCUGUGAAUCACUCUUGCUGCCCACACUUUCUCUUCUAUAAAUCCGAACUCCCUUAUGCAACAUAAAUUCGCACCUCUCAAUUACUAAGCUUCCUCAUUUCUCUCUUCUCCUUCUCUUCUUAUUUUCUUUCUUUUUGUUUCUUGCUCUUUUCUUUUCUGUCUCGGUGCACGAGAGAAACUGAGAUUAAGAGAGAAAGAAAGAUGAGAGCUGAGGGAGAGAGAGAUCGGGAGAAUAAGAGAAAUUGAGAGUCCGAGAGAGAGAGAGAGAGAGAUUCAGAGAAUGUUAGAGGGAGGAGCCGAGAGUGAAACCCAGAGAAGAAGCCGGGAGAGGCCGACCCUUGGUGGAUUUCAGGUGAUCGUCACCGGUGGAGCAGAGAGACACUGAGGACCCGUAGCAGAUCGGGCCGAACCAGUGAACCCAGACCAAUCGGAGGUCCGAAACUCCAUGGGCCUCCGGUGGGUCAUCCAAGGGAGCGAUUUCCGGGGGUCUAAAGACGAAUUCCGGCAGAAUUUUCCGGUGGAUUUUCUGUAUUGAGCAAAAAUUCCCAUAUAUGAUGAUUUGAGAAACUGCACCAAAGACCUGCGGGGCGUUACAGCUGAAAACUGACUAGAUUGGAGUAGCAGUGUGACUAUUUAAUGGGUUCCAAUCAGCCCGGACCUAAGGCGAAAGAUUCAUUGGCUGACAGCUUAUUUUCCACCACUACGUCCCCUUUUACUGACCGGAUAAUGUUGUGUCGGCUCCCGAGUAAGUUCAAAAUGCUUGAAAUACCUGUGUACACGGGGCUGGGGGAUCCCAUUGAGCAUUUAGCAGGUUUCCGUGCACACACGGUACUGCAAACGACACCGAACGAAGUUGCGUGUCGGGCUUUCCCCCUCACUUUGGCGGGGGGGAGCUCCAGAAUGGUUCAGAACCCUGCCGCCUCGCUCGGUUCCGAACUUCGAGAGCUUUGCUAAGAAGUUUGCAUCUCAGUUUAUGGCUGGCAUCAUCCGGAAGAAGCCCACUCAGUAGUUGAUGACUAUUAAACAAGGCCCUCAGGAGUUGUUGAGAAGUUAUCUGCUCUGCUUCAAUCAGGAGAGGUUGGCUGCAGAGAGCCAAAAUGAACAGUUUAUCCAUUUUGCCAUAUACCAGGGCAUAAGGAAGAAUGGCACCCUUAUGGCAAAUUUAGCAUGGAGGCCAGCUGAGGGGUUGCAAAAGUUUUUGGAUCGAGCGGAAGAGUUUGUAAACCAGGAGGAGACUCUUCGCGCGUUCCGUGGGACUGAAGAAGUCGCGAAGUUGGAUUUUGCGACCGGAGGGAAGUCAAGGAAAAGAACAACCCAAGUCAGGAGAGAGAUCCCAGAACGCAGACCCAUCAAAAGGGUGGAGAAUUACAAUUGGACGCCUGUCAACGCCCCAGCAAAGGAGAUCCUUAUGGAAAUCAGAAAAGAUCCGGGCUAUAAGGACCCGUCCCCAAUAAAGGGCAGGCCACUUCCUUAUAAUCUUCACAAAUACUGCCACUACCAUGAUUCUUAUGGCCACUGGACUAAUACCUGCAUCGCCCUGAAGGAGAUGAUCAAAAAGUGUAGUGCUUCAAAGUGCCGUAUGUUUCUUCUUGGUUUUGGAAGAGCCAAAACAAUAGAGAAAAGAAAAGGGUGCUACCGUGUGAGAGAUAAAAAAGAUAGAGACCAACCGCCGUCUUAUCCCAGCAAAAAAAGACCUUCUAUAUAUGGAAAAGAUUCAAGAGCUCAUAUAUAAUUGAACUACUGGAGAAAUAUCAGACCAAAGAGUAAGUCCAAGCUUUUGUUUGGCAUGUAGUACUCGUGGAUCAGCAUUUGUUCAUCCCUCUCAAUGCAAAAUUUCAAAAGUCGCACAAGAUUUACCUGUUGCAGUUUCGCAGCCGGACCUGUAGAGGCAUAUAAAGGCAAGCCCAACACCAACUUUCCAGCAGACAAGCCCCUAGCAAUCCAUGCAACAAUGCCAUAAUCCGUGUUAGCAUUGCUUGAUGGGUCAUCAA